GAAAUCCCCCGCCUUUAUAAGUCGUGAGGGUUCAAGUCCCUCUAUCCCC
This 49-nucleotide transfer RNA is filed under the name Festuca longiauriculata. RNAcentral describes it as "partial tRNA-Leu". The record is from RNAcentral. Lineage: Eukaryota; Viridiplantae; Streptophyta; Magnoliopsida; Poales; Poaceae.